UCAUAUCAAUAAGCGGAGGAAAAGAAACCAACCGGGAUUGCCCUAGUAACGGCGAGUGAAACGGCAAGAGCUCAAAUUUGAAAGCUGGCCCCCUCGGGGUCCGCAUUGUAAUUUGCAGAGGAUGCUUCGGGAACGGCCCCCCAUCUAAGUGUCCUGGCACGGGCCGUCAUAGAGGGUGAGAAUCCCGUCUGGGAUGGGGUGGCCGCGCCCGUGUGAAGCUCCUUUGACGAGUCGAGUUGUUUGGGAAUGCAGCUCUAAUUGGGUGGUAAAUUUCAUUUAAAGCUAAAUAUUGGCCGGAGACCCGAUAGCGCACAAGUAGAGUGAUCGAAAGAUGAAAAGCACUUUGAAAAGAGAGUUAAACAGCACGUGAAAUUGUUGAAAGGGAAGCGCUUGCGACCAGACUCGCCCGCGGGGUUCAGCCGGCACUCGUGCCGGUGUACUUCCCCGCGGGCGGGCCAGCG
Molecule: ribosomal RNA, 461 nt
Filed under: Penicillium citrinum
Lineage: Eukaryota; Fungi; Ascomycota; Eurotiomycetes; Eurotiales; Aspergillaceae
Description: eukaryotic LSU rRNA
Rfam family: Eukaryotic large subunit ribosomal RNA
Source: RNAcentral